This 1176-nucleotide ribosomal RNA is filed under the name uncultured fungus. RNAcentral describes it as "eukaryotic LSU rRNA". The stretch from base 543 to 1176 matches the Rfam family "Eukaryotic large subunit ribosomal RNA", at positions 1 to 649 of the family's 3401-position model. The record is from RNAcentral. Lineage: Eukaryota; Fungi.
AGUCGUAACAAGGUUUCCGUAGGUGAACCUGCGGAAGGAUCAUUAAUAAACCUAGUCGUUCGCGUACAUAGGGGCAACCCUCGCGUGAUGUCAGCAAUACCUAGGUAACCCUUGAAUAAACUACCCUUGUUGCUUUGGCGGGCCGCCGUCUCGGCCAGCGGCUUCGGCUGCUGCGCGCCCGCCAGAGGACCACAACUCUUGUUUUUAGUGAUGUCUGAGUACUAUAUAAUAGUUAAAACUUUCAACAACGGAUCUCUUGGUUCUGGCAUCGAUGAAGAACGCAGCGAAAUGCGAUAAGUAAUGUGAAUUGCAGAAUACAGUGAAUCAUCGAAUCUUUGAACGCACAUUGCGCCCUUUGGUAUUCCGAAGGGCAUGCCUGUUCGAGCGUCAUUAUAACCACUCAAGCUCUCGCUUGGUAUUGGGGUGCGCGGUUCCGCGGCCUCUAAAGUCAGUGGCGGUGCCUGUCGGCUCUACGCGUAGUAAUACUCCUCGCGUCUGGGUCCGGUAGGUUGCUUGCCAACAACCCCCAACUUUUUACAGGUUGACCUCGGAUCAGGUAGGGAUACCCGCUGAACUUAAGCAUAUCAAUAAGCGGAGGAAAAGAAACCAACAGGGAUUACCUCAGUAACGGCGAGUGAAGCGGUAACAGCUCAAAUUUGAAAGCUAGCUCUUUUAGGGUUCGCAUUGUAAUUUGUAGAAGAUGCUUCGGGUGUGGCCNCGGUCUAAGUUCCUUGGAACAGGACGUCAUAGAGGGUGAGAAUCCCGUAUGUGACUGGGUGCUUUCGCUCAUGUGAAGCUCUUUCGACGAGUCGAGUUGUUUGGGAAUGCAGCUCAAAAUGGGUGGUAAAUUUCAUCUAAAGCUAAAUAUUGGCCAGAGACCGAUAGCGCACAAGUAGAGUGAUCAAAAGAUGAAAAGCACUUUGGAAAGAGAGUUAAACAGUACGUGAAAUUGUUGAAAGGGAAGCGCUUGCAACCAGACUUGCGCGCUGAUGAUCAUCCGGGCUUCUGCCCGGUGCACUCGUCUGCGCUCAGGCCAGCAUCGGUUUCGGUGGUGGGAUGAAGGCCUUGGGAAUGUAGCUUCUUUCGGGGAGUGUUAUAGCCCUCGGUGCAAUGCCGCCUACCGGGACCGAGGACCGCGCUUCGGCUAGGAUGCUGGCGUAAUGGUCGUAAGCGACC